RNAcentral lists this long non-coding RNA (657 nucleotides) under Mytilus galloprovincialis (Mediterranean mussel). Lineage: Eukaryota; Metazoa; Mollusca; Bivalvia; Mytilida; Mytilidae. The record is from RNAcentral.
UUGCAUUACGAUGCUUUCUACCUAAUAGCACGUGGAUAUGUUUACAUAUUUAGACUUGACCCAGUUUGACCCGUACCUUGUAGGUCACCGCCGUCGUUUAAACACUAGACUACAGUCGUGUAAGACAAUAAAAAGCUUAAGCCUGUACUAUUUGUGUGAAGUAAAUGUGUUUGUUCUGUACAUUAAAAUUGUUUUACCUGAUAACAAGGACGUAUAUCUACCCGUUUCCUUCUCAAUUCACUUUGUCAAAUUCUUCUAGCUUCUUCAAAACAUACGUAUUACUGCGCCCGGAAGUGAGAAAAAUAUGAGAAAUCCUCGUAAAAUAAUGCUAUUUUCAAUUUUGUGGAAUCCAUUUUGUUAUAUUUAUUAUACAAAGAUAAAAAAAAGUUACGAUUAAUUAUGAAUUUGCAUAUCAUUAUACGGAACGUUUAUGGACUAUUUUCCAUAGCGGUAAAUCGGUCAUUCUGGUGGGAAAUCAUGUACACAUACACACGUAGAUUGGCUGGUACCCGAUCGUAAUGUUACACAUCACAUAUAUAAAAUAGCUAAUACCCGGAACGUAGUACCGGGAACCAGGAUAAUACGUAGACAACAUACAUAACUAGAACCGAAAUUGAAAACGCUUUACGGUUUCUCGUUCAUAAACCGAAUUCCGCU